UCUAACGUGGCAGAUAAGUGCGGUGGAUUUAAGCUCCACAAAUAAAGUUUUAACUUUCAUUAGAA
Molecule: transfer RNA, 65 nt
Filed under: Pericapritermes sp. A TB-2017
Lineage: Eukaryota; Metazoa; Arthropoda; Insecta; Blattodea; Termitidae
Description: tRNA-Leu
Source: RNAcentral